UAACACAGUUCAGGUAUAUCGAUUUAUGGUUUGUCUCCUUUUGCCCUCUUCUACUUCUUCUCUGUUGAUGGCGUUGUUUGAUUUGGCCCGCUGUGUUUAUUUGUUUUGUUAGGGUAUCGAUUUGUCUCCGUCUUCUAGUUUACUUUGCAGUUCCUAUUCUAAAGCGAGUCGAUUGCGCAGAAUGAAGAGGAACACAGUAAGUUUCCCGAGAUCCCGAUUGUUCUAUCUAUCUACCCACUAUGAUUCUCUCACCUAAUAUCUUCCCAAUUGUGAUGAUAUAUGCUAUCUGUAUUUGCAAGGACAAUCAGGUCAAUUUGGUCACCAUUGGAACAAACAGAAGGGGGACGGUUGGUUUAAAUUUCAUAUGUUUAUCUAAAUUCAAACAAACAAAGAAAGAAAAGAAGUGGUUGACAGGCGACGGGGACGGUGCCAGCGUCUACCCUGAGUUCAUCGAUCUUGUGAUACCGAUUGACACCAAAGAAGUUGAGCAAAACGAUUCUGAUUGUCAUUCAGGCAAUUAUUUGAAUAGGACAUCAAGAAGGUGUAAAAGAGUAUUGGAAGGGCACUAAGGAUGAUAGAAGAUUAUGUGGAUCUCAAAUCAAGUGCUAAAAUGUCUGUUUUUAUCAUUUUUUGGCAUAUUUUACUGUUCAUGUAUGUAAUGAUUUUAGAAGCUCUAACCGAAUUAAAAAGAUAUGUUGAGUAUUGGCUUAGGUUUCUAUUUUUUUUUUUUUUUUGUAUUUUCAACUGUAGUUAGAUGAAUAUAGGGAAGAAAACGAAGUAUAUGGUCUUGAAAUGCAUCCAAAUGGAACAAAAAAGCUUAUGGAAGUAGAAAUUUAUCAUUCUUUUAUGUAUUUUUCUAAUAUUCCAGAUUUCGUGUCGGUCUUUGAACUUUCCAUAUUGAUUUGCAAACCAGUGAUGAUUCAAGUAAUGGGAAGUAGGGUGAUGGAAAAGCCUGCAAAGGAGGCAAAACACUUUCCAAAAGGGACUCAACUUCCCAGGUGACUUUAUUGAUCUAAGUCCAUUUUUUCGUCUACAUACAUGUUGUCUAUUUUCUUUGUUCAGGAGCAAUCCUCAGGUAAUUCCAUGGAGGCUGUCCCAUAUUAGACGGGGUUUUCAGGUUUCAUAUAUUUACCACUUUUAACCUUUGUGAAUUGGAUACUAAAUAUAGAUGAGAUUAGAUGUUUUAAAUCUCUGCAAUCAAAUGACAUAGCUUUCUCUUUGCUUUCUGAUUUCUUCUCAAUUUCAAUAGAAAUAUUGUUGGUUCAUGUAACUAUACAUGUGUCAAACGUGACAGGUCUUUUCUUGGCAGUUCGUAGUAUAAAUGAUCGAAAUUAGUGCAGUCAUAAGGAAAUGAAGAAUUGGUUUGCCAUGUCUCUUCUUUGGACUGAAAAUGAUAAUAAAGGGUAUUAUGGUCUUUUUUGGUUACACUUAAUUGUGAUAGAUAUUUUCAAGACAGUGUGAAGCUUCGAGUCCAUGAUUGACAUGGGAAAAGUAGUCUUUGUUGUUUUAUAGAUUUGGUGCAAUAAAAGUUUUAAGGGGUAUUUUUGUAACAUGGAACAGUGAAAGAGUUAAAAGGGAAUAUUAGCCUUUUAUUUUAACGUAAAAGAAAGAUGGUGGAAAAAGACGAGGAAAGUUUGACUUCUUAUUACUUUUAAAAGCUUACUGAGUUGUACUUAUUGCAUCGUAACAUGUAGAUUACUUUCAAUUUUACUGUUUUGGGGUAUUUGGUUGAAAGGACUAACCUAUGUUGUUGUUCGGUCACAGAAACAAAAAAGGAUUGCAAUUGUCAAUGGCAGUAGUGCUGACCACCGGAGAUAAUUACUGGUCACGAAAAACACAUGAUCGGUAUAAAAAUAUAAUUUUCUCAUCUAAGUUGACAGAUAGUUUUUAAUUGCAUGAUGUUUUGCUAUCUUUUGGCUUUUGCUAUUUCAGUUAUUGGAUAGUUGGUAUAUCUGCAAAGUUAAGCAAGGAGUGCGUGAAGGUAAAUUCAAUUCCCCUCAUAUGUGAACAAAAACUUCAUGGUAGAUGAGGGAACACUACAAAACUAGUCGACAGUUCAAGUAGAAACCAAGGAAGUUACAAAACCCACUGCAUCUCAACAAGGCUCUAGGAAAGUCGAAAAGUGGAAAAUAAAUUUUUUAUCGACACAGAAGUGGGAGAAUCCAUUAAUAGGGUGGACAUCGACUGCAGACGCGUAUGCUAAUGUUGGUGAAGCAGGACUCAGUUUUGAAAGUGAGGAGGCAGCCAAAGCAUUUGUUGAGAAGCAUUGUUGGGAAUAUGUGGUAUAUAUGUUCCUACCAUUCUUUAUGUAUUCAAAACAACAAAAAAUUAAAGUAUAAUUGACUGAUAAAUGUAAAAAAAUAGCAAGUUACUUUUGUUGA
Molecule: long non-coding RNA, 2381 nt
Organism: Lactuca sativa (garden lettuce)
Lineage: Eukaryota; Viridiplantae; Streptophyta; Magnoliopsida; Asterales; Asteraceae
Source: RefSeq, a predicted model, not a curated record